GUGCUCGCUUCAGCAGCACAUAUAGUAAAAUUGGAACAAUACAGAAAUUAUCAUGGUUCCUAUGCAAGGAUGACAUGCAAAUUUGUGAAGUGUUACAUAUAAAA
Small nuclear RNA from Suncus etruscus (white-toothed pygmy shrew), 104 nucleotides. The record is from RefSeq and is a predicted model, not a curated record. Lineage: Eukaryota; Metazoa; Chordata; Mammalia; Eulipotyphla; Soricidae.